AAGUCUGGUGCCAGCAGCCGCGGUAAUUCCAGCUCCAAUAGCGUAUAUUAAAGUUGUUGCAGUUAAGAAGCUCGUAGUUGAAUUUCGGGGUUAGUAGGUUGGUCAUGCCUCUGGUAUGUACUGGUCUCACUGAUUCCUCCUUCCUCAUGAACCGUAAUGCCAUUAAUUUGGUGUUGCGGGGAAUUUGGACUGUUACUUUGAAAAAAUUAGAGUGUUUAAAGCAAGCUAACGCUUGAAUACAUUAGCAUGGAAUAAUGAAAUAGGACGUUCGAUCUUAUUUUGUUGGUUUCUAGGAUUGACGUAAUGAUUAAUAGGGAUAGUUGGGGGCAUUAGUAUUCAAUUGUCAGAGGUGAAAUUCUUGGAUUUAUUGAAGACUAACUACUGCGAAAGCAUUUGCCAAGGAUGUUUUCAUUAAUCAAGAACGAAAGUUAGGGGAUCGAAGACGAUCAGAUACCGUCGUAGUCUUAACCAUAAACUAUGCCGACUAGGGAUCGGAUGAUGUUAAUUUUUUAAUGACUCAUUCGGCGCCUUACGGGAAACCAAAGUGUUUGGGU
This 554-nucleotide ribosomal RNA is filed under the name Rhizophagus irregularis. Its description in RNAcentral is "SSU rRNA". It matches the Rfam family "Eukaryotic small subunit ribosomal RNA", at positions 557 to 1112 of the family's 1831-position model. Lineage: Eukaryota; Fungi; Glomeromycota; Glomeromycetes; Glomerales; Glomeraceae. The record is from RNAcentral.